This 24-nucleotide non-coding RNA is filed under the name Arabidopsis thaliana (thale cress). Lineage: Eukaryota; Viridiplantae; Streptophyta; Magnoliopsida; Brassicales; Brassicaceae. The record is from RNAcentral.
GUCCUGACAGAGGGUGCACUAACA